Non-coding RNA from Myodes glareolus (Bank vole), 776 nucleotides. The record is from RefSeq and is a predicted model, not a curated record. NCBI's taxonomy places the organism in Eukaryota, Metazoa, Chordata, Mammalia, Rodentia, Cricetidae.
UCCGAGGGAGAGGAGGCUUAUCUUUCAGUGUCAUUGGAUAUUAACAAAAUGCCUCCCCACAAGCUGGGCCAAUCUAUUUCAUACCAGUAGAGGAGCCUGUGUAGCUCCACCCUCCCCACAGCUCCUGCAGCCCAUUGUCCAAGCGGGCACCCAAUGGCCACUUGUGGGUAUCAUCUGGUUCGGCUGCUCUUGGCAUUUCUGUAAAGACUUUUGCCAGGCAUAAGUAAUUAUUUUAAAUUAUGUGUUCGAAGCCAUAUUAGCGUGCCUUCUGACGAUGCUUUGAGUGAAGGGAAGACUAAAUCUCUGAAAAUGCAGCUCUUAUCACUGAUGACAUCGUUUGCUGAAGUCUGAAGGUUGUCCCGGAUCCUUUAAUAGGAAACAACAUUUUAAUAUCAUCUUACUAGAAGAGCAUCCAUGGCAGACGUAACCUAAGACAACCUGUUCCAUGCAGUUCUCUGAACACUGGAUUGGUAGAAGAAAGGAAAACUGUUCGUCAUGGUGAAGAUGUUAGGACAUCUACAGUGUCCUAACAUUUUACAGUGCAGGAUGGACUACAGAGUGCAGGAUCUACGGAGUGUAGGUUCCUGGCCUCUGAAGCACACUGCAUCUGUGGAGGUUCUGCUCAUACCAUUUCGCAGCUGUGUCAUUUCGAGCACCCUGCUGUCACUCUUUGUACUUCCGCUCCAGCCUCUAUAAAGUGGCCCAUCCUGCAGUGCUACGUGCUAACACUGGACACAAGAGGGGGAUGCCCAAGCUGAUGCAUGAGUGUUUAUUAG